GAUGAACGCUGGCGGCGUGCCUAAUACAUGCAAGUCGAGCGAACAGAUGAGGAGCUUGCUCCUCUGACGUUAGCGGCGGACGGGUGAGUAACACGUGGAUAACCUACCUAUAAGACUGGGAUAACUUCGGGAAACCGGAGCUAAUCCCGGAUAAUAUCUUGAUCCGCAUUGUUCAAUGGUGAGAGUCGGUUUUUGUGGCUCUUCUCGAUGGUUACGAGCCGCAUUAGGUAGUUGGUACGGUAACGGCUUACCAAGGCAAGGAUGCGUAAACGACCUGCGAGGGUGAUCGGCCACACUGGAACGGGAACGCGGUCCAGACUCCUACGGGAGGCAGCAGUAGGGAAUCUUCCGCAAUGGGCGAAAGCUUGACGGAGCAACGCCGCGUGAGUGAUGAAGGUCUUCGGAUCGUGAAACUCUGUUAUGAGGGAAGAACAAAUGUGUAAGUAACUAUGCACGUCUUGACGGUACCUAAUCAGAAAGCCACGGCUAACUACGUG
Molecule: ribosomal RNA, 497 nt
Filed under: uncultured bacterium
Lineage: Bacteria
Description: partial 16S ribosomal RNA
Rfam family: Bacterial small subunit ribosomal RNA
Source: RNAcentral